Molecule: transfer RNA, 155 nt
Filed under: Gammaproteobacteria bacterium
Lineage: Bacteria; Pseudomonadati; Pseudomonadota; Gammaproteobacteria
Description: tRNA-Gln
Rfam family: tRNA
About the family: Transfer RNA (tRNA) molecules are approximately 80 nucleotides in length. Their secondary structure includes four short double-helical elements and three loops (D, anti-codon, and T loops).
Source: RNAcentral
GGGGCGUAGCCAAGCGGUAAGGCACCGGAUUUUGAUUCCGGCAUUCCCAGGUUCGACGGAUUCGCCGGGAGCGAAUCCGGACAGCGGAGCGAAGCGACGCUGGCCCCGAAGGGGCGAGGCGCAGGGAUGCGCCGAGCAAUCCUGGCGCCGCGCCA